This is a long non-coding RNA of Lolium rigidum, 354 nucleotides long. RefSeq lists it as uncharacterized. The record is from RefSeq and is a predicted model, not a curated record. The transcript is spliced from 3 exons. Lineage: Eukaryota; Viridiplantae; Streptophyta; Magnoliopsida; Poales; Poaceae.
ACUUCGACAGCUUAAGGGUCAUGGUUGUGUUCGGCCUAUGCAGUCAGCUGCCCAAGGAGACAUCCCCAGUUCACCGAAAGAGUUAGAUGUGAGUUGUCAUGGAAACGAGGUCAAACAGUAGUAAGAAAAGUUAAUGGAAGCCAUUCGAAAAGGCGAAUACGUACUGACUAAACCAAGAACUUCAUACAUGCAAUGGUGGAUUAUUCACUGCAUAUGAAGCAAUCCAGGUUAUGGACCAGUCAACCUGCAAAAAGAACGAAGCUUUUGGACCAUUCUGCAACGGAUCUCAAGUUACCCGAUGAUGUGCAAGGCAAGGAAACUGUAUGAAUCUGCCAUUUAUCUUGAACCUGAAAU